CUUACAAUUGCGAUGGGGGGACGGAGAAGGCUAGGUGGGCCUGGCGACGGUUGUCCAGGUUCAAGUGCGUAGGCUGAAGAGUUAGGUAAAUCCGGCUCCUCGAUAGGCUGAGACACGACGUCGAGCUACUACGGUAGUGAAGUCAUUGAUGCCAUGCUUCCAGGAAAAGCCUCUAAGCUUCAGAUUGUAAGGAAUCGUACC
This 201-nucleotide ribosomal RNA is filed under the name Vibrio sp. OPT46. Its description in RNAcentral is "partial 23S ribosomal RNA". It matches the Rfam family "Bacterial large subunit ribosomal RNA", at positions 1447 to 1648 of the family's 2925-position model. Lineage: Bacteria; Pseudomonadati; Pseudomonadota; Gammaproteobacteria; Vibrionales; Vibrionaceae. The record is from RNAcentral.